CUCCUCUCAGGAUCACACCUGGAGAGUUUCUAGUACUCUACCAGUCUCGGCUACAGGAGGGAGAGUCAAUCAGAGGCCUGUCCGUUCCAUUCCUAGCUUGGGCUGUGGCUAGCAUGUGGAAGGCAACCUGCUACAAGU
RNAcentral lists this small nucleolar RNA (138 nucleotides) under Ornithorhynchus anatinus (platypus). The record is from RNAcentral. Lineage: Eukaryota; Metazoa; Chordata; Mammalia; Monotremata; Ornithorhynchidae.